Molecule: ribosomal RNA, 478 nt
Filed under: uncultured bacterium
Lineage: Bacteria
Description: bacterial SSU rRNA
Rfam family: Bacterial small subunit ribosomal RNA
Source: RNAcentral
CGAACGGAGAAUAGUUAAUGAAGCUUGCUUCUUUAGCUAUCUUAGUGGCGAACGGGUGAGUAACGCGUGGGUAACCUGCCCUUAAGACCGGGACAACAGCUGGAAACGGCUGCUAAUACCGGAUGUAUUGUCCGAGAGGCAUCUCUUGGAGAAGAAAGCUGGCCUCUGAAAAUGCUAGCGCUUAGGGAUGGACCCGCGUCUGAUUAGCUAGUUGGUGGGGUAGCGGCCUACCAAGGCGACGAUCAGUAGCCGGCCUGAGAGGGUAAACGGCCACACUGGGACUGAGACACGGCCCAGACUCCUACGGGAGGCAGCAGUGGGGAAUCUUCCGCAAUGGACGAAAGUCUGACGGAGCAACGCCGCGUGUAUGAAGAAAGCCUUCGGGUUGUAAAAUACUGUUGUUAGGGAAGAACGGCAUCUGUGUAAAUAAUGCAGGUGAUUGACGGUACCUAACGAGGAAGCCCCGGCUAACUACGUG